UGGGGAAUAUUGCACAAUGGGCGCAAGCCUGAUGCAGCCAUGCCGCGUGUGUGAAGAAGGCCUCGGGUUGUAAAGCACCUUCAGCGAGGAGGAAGGUGGUGAGCUUAAUACGCUCAUCAAUUGACGUUACUCGCAGAAGAAGCACCGGCUAACUCCGUGCCAGCAGCCGCGGUAAUACGGAGGGUGCAAGCGUUAAUCGGAAUUACUGGGCGUAAAGCGCACGCAGGCGGUUUGUUAAGUCAGAUGUGAAAUCCCCGGGCUCAACCUGGGAACUGCAUUUGAAACUGGCAAGCUAGAGUCUCGUAGAGGGGGGUAGAAUUCCAGGUGUAGCGGUGAAAUGCGUAGAGAUCUGGAGGAAUACCGGUGGCGAAGGCGGCCCCCCUGGACGAAGACUGACGCUCAGGUGCGAAAAGGCGUGGGGCAGCAAACAGGAUUAGAUACCCCUGGUAGUCCACGCUGUAAAACGAUGUCGA
RNAcentral lists this ribosomal RNA (473 nucleotides) under uncultured bacterium. RNAcentral's name for it is "partial 16S ribosomal RNA". It matches the Rfam family "Bacterial small subunit ribosomal RNA", at positions 355 to 815 of the family's 1533-position model. The record is from RNAcentral.